GAUCAAGCGACUAAGUGCAUGUGGUGGAUGCCUUGGCGAUCACAGGCGAUGAAGGACGUAGUAGCCUGCGAUAAGCUGCGGGGAGCUGGCAAACAAGCUUUGAUCCGCAGAUUUCCGAAUGGGGAAACCCACCGCUUCGGCGGUAUCGUUAACUGAAUCCAUAGGUUAACGAGGCGAACCGGGUGAACUGAAACAUCUCAGUAACUCGAGGAAAAGAAAUCAACCGAGAUUCCGAAAGUAGUGGCGAGCGAAAUCGGAAGAGCCUGUACGAGUUAGCUUCGGUGAUAGAAGAACGGUCUGGAAAGUCCGGCCAUAGCAGGUGAUAGCCCUGUAUUCGAAAUCUCUGA
Molecule: ribosomal RNA, 347 nt
Filed under: Pigmentiphaga sp. GD03639
Lineage: Bacteria; Pseudomonadati; Pseudomonadota; Betaproteobacteria; Burkholderiales; Alcaligenaceae
Description: partial 23S ribosomal RNA
Rfam family: Bacterial large subunit ribosomal RNA
Source: RNAcentral